Micropterus dolomieu (smallmouth bass) is the source of this 617-nucleotide long non-coding RNA. RefSeq lists it as uncharacterized. Lineage: Eukaryota; Metazoa; Chordata; Actinopteri; Centrarchiformes; Centrarchidae. The transcript is spliced from 4 exons. The record is from RefSeq and is a predicted model, not a curated record.
GCCUCAUGUCAUGUGUAGUUUUGCUCUGUUCUGUGCUGUCCUGGAUCUGUAACCCAUUGGAUUAUUUCUGUUGGAUAACUCUGUUCUUUUGGAUUAUUUCACCUUGCUUACUUUGGACUCAGCCACUCUACUUGCUCGGCUGUUGCUCUGUUGGUUCAGCAGGUUCAGAAAACAGAGCCCAGCAGUUUGACACCAACAAAGGCCUUUUUGUGAAGCAGGGAUCGAGUUGAAGAAAGGACAAGGAGGUCUGCUACUCGAGCCUUGUACCUCCCCUGAGCGGUAAGUGUUGGACGUUCGAGUCAGUCAGUGUGAGACAGUCUGACGGUGCAGAGGGCAAACGGAGACUCUGGGUCAGACAGAGGGGAGCCAGAGUUGAUGCUGCAUCCCCGAGUCCCCGACUGACCUCCUGAUAAGCGGAUUCAGUCUUCACGGCGCAAUCGUAAAGGCUGAUGGCCGAUGCUCCACUUAAAUUCCAGAGGGACAAACUGCUGCGAUUUUGAUUCUGAUUAUUCAUUAAAUCAGCAGCAGCAGUGGGAACAGCACCUCCUGUUCUCGAGUGCACAAAGACGAAUUUCAGUUGUUGCCAUAGUUCUCUCACGUCUCCUCACUUCUGCAUC